Molecule: ribosomal RNA, 253 nt
Filed under: uncultured bacterium
Lineage: Bacteria
Description: partial 16S ribosomal RNA
Rfam family: Bacterial small subunit ribosomal RNA
Source: RNAcentral
UACGAAGGGGACUAGCGUUGUUCGGAUAUACUGGGCGUAAAGCGCACGUAGGCGGCGCCGUACGUCAGGGGUGAAAUCCCGGAGCUCAACUCCGGAACUGCCCUUGAAACUGCAGUGCUAGAAUCUUGGAGAGGCGAGUGGAAUUCCGAGUGUAGAGGUGAAAUUCGUAGAUAUUCGGAAGAACACCAGUGGCGAAGGCGACUCGCUGGACAAGUAUUGACGCUGAGGUGCGAAAGCGUGGGGAGCAAACAGG